Long non-coding RNA from Nanorana parkeri, 377 nucleotides. RefSeq lists it as uncharacterized. The record is from RefSeq and is a predicted model, not a curated record. The transcript is spliced from 3 exons. NCBI's taxonomy places the organism in Eukaryota, Metazoa, Chordata, Amphibia, Anura, Dicroglossidae.
CUAGUUCAUUAAUUUAGUCUUUAUCUUGUUUUCUACACUGUGUGGAGAAGAGAAAAAAAGUUCUUCCAUCAGCAAAGAAAAUUACAUUAGUGUUAAAAUAUGGUUUAUGAGAACACGUUGUAUGUAUAUAGCAAUUCAGGGUUUUAAUACAAGCUUGUUUGAAAUGUAAUUAAGCAUGCUUGAAAACCGAGAUUUGCAAGGCUGUACAUUAUUUUAAAUAGACACAUACUGAAUGACAGAUCUGCUCUUGGAUCUUAUUACCCUUACCACAGUGUUUUGAAAAUGUCACUCAACCUCCCUAUUUUGGUUACUUACACAAAGAAUUAUCCCUGAUAGGAUUCUGUUUCAUUAACAUGUUCAGACAGUUUAGUCUUUAG